This 584-nucleotide ribosomal RNA is filed under the name Salmonella enterica. RNAcentral describes it as "partial 23S ribosomal RNA". It matches the Rfam family "Bacterial large subunit ribosomal RNA", at positions 2359 to 2925 of the family's 2925-position model. Lineage: Bacteria; Pseudomonadati; Pseudomonadota; Gammaproteobacteria; Enterobacterales; Enterobacteriaceae. RNAcentral also lists the same sequence under 1 other name. The record is from RNAcentral.
AUAAGCCAGCUUGACUGCGAGCGUGACGGCGCGAGCAGGUGCGAAAGCAGGUCAUAGUGAUCCGGUGGUUCUGAAUGGAAGGGCCAUCGCUCAACGGAUAAAAGGUACUCCGGGGAUAACAGGCUGAUACCGCCCAAGAGUUCAUAUCGACGGCGGUGUUUGGCACCUCGAUGUCGGCUCAUCACAUCCUGGGGCUGAAGUAGGUCCCAAGGGUAUGGCUGUUCGCCAUUUAAAGUGGUACGCGAGCUGGGUUUAGAACGUCGUGAGACAGUUCGGUCCCUAUCUGCCGUGGGCGCUGGAGAACUGAGGGGGGCUGCUCCUAGUACGAGAGGACCGGAGUGGACGCAUCACUGGUGUUCGGGUUGUCAUGCCAAUGGCACUGCCCGGUAGCUAAAUGCGGAAGAGAUAAGUGCUGAAAGCAUCUAAGCACGAAACUUGCCCCGAGAUGAGUUCUCCCUGAGACUUAAAGUCUCCUGAAGGAACGUUGAAGACGACGACGUUGAUAGGCCGGGUGUGUAAGCGCAGCGAUGCGUUGAGCUAACCGGUACUAAUGAACCGUGAGGCUUAACCUUACAACGCCGAAG